UACAGAGGGUGCAAGCGUUAAUCGGAAUUACUGGGCGUAAAGCGUGCGUAGGUGGUUUACUAAGUCAGGUGUGAAAUCCCCGGGCUCAACCUGGGAACUGCGCUUGAUACUGGUAAACUAGAGUUUAGUAGAGGGAAGUGGAAUUCCACGUGUAGCGGUGAAAUGCGUAGAUAUCGGGAGGAACACCAGUGGCGAAGGCGACUACCUGGACCAGCACUGACACUGAGGCACGAAAGCGUGGGGAGCAAACAGG
RNAcentral lists this ribosomal RNA (253 nucleotides) under uncultured bacterium. Its description in RNAcentral is "partial 16S ribosomal RNA". It matches the Rfam family "Bacterial small subunit ribosomal RNA", at positions 524 to 776 of the family's 1533-position model. The record is from RNAcentral.